AUUGACAUCUUUUACGAUUGUGAGCUCCCAUUAAUUAUAAUAUACCAAAAAUGUUGACAUUGUACAAGGAAGACAACGUAAUGUGUUAUGCUUGUUCACAUUCACAUAGAAGUUAUAUUAUUAAAGAUCCUCUAACAUGUAGUGCUUGCCCAAUAUCUUUGCUAGCCAAAGCUCUGCACUAAGUAGAGAUACUACUUGUGCAUCCAAAACCUUAAACCCAAUUCCAUGUUUCGAGAGUCCACCAUACCUACC
Molecule: long non-coding RNA, 252 nt
Filed under: Hordeum vulgare
Lineage: Eukaryota; Viridiplantae; Streptophyta; Magnoliopsida; Poales; Poaceae
Description: long non-coding RNA (HVUL_LNC019806)
Source: RNAcentral